Ribosomal RNA from Dipodomys ordii (Ord's kangaroo rat), 118 nucleotides. The record is from Ensembl. Lineage: Eukaryota; Metazoa; Chordata; Mammalia; Rodentia; Heteromyidae.
UAGUUCCUUUUAACAUGUCAUAGGUACUUAAUCUCAUCUGAUCUCAGAAGCUAAGCAGGGCUGGGCCUGUGUAGUACUUAGAUGGGAGAUUGCCUGGGAAUAGUAGAUGCUGAACCAG